Molecule: ribosomal RNA, 494 nt
Filed under: uncultured bacterium
Lineage: Bacteria
Description: partial 16S ribosomal RNA
Rfam family: Bacterial small subunit ribosomal RNA
Source: RNAcentral
GACGAACGCUGGCGGCGUGCUUAACACAUGCAAGUCGAACGGUGAAGCGCCUUCCUUUUUGGUGGGUGGGUAGGGGUGGCGAGCUGGGGAGUAACACGUUAGUAACCUGCCCCCUUCGGCUUGAUAACCGCAUGAAGGUGUUGCUAAUACGUGAUAUUCUGGAUCGGUCGCAUGAUGGGUCUGGGAAGGAUAUUGUUUCGGUUGGGGAUGGGCUCGCGGCCUAUCAGCUUGUUGGUGGGGUGAUGGCCUACCAAGGCGGUGACGGGUAGCCGGCCUGAGAGGGUGGACGGCACCACUGGGAAUGCGACACGGAGCAGACUACUACGGGAGGCAGCAGUGGGGAAUAUUGCACAAUGGGCGGAAGGAUGAUGCAGCGACGCGGGGUGAGGGAUGGAGGUCUUCGGGUUGUGAACCUCUUUCGCGAGUGAAGAAGGGCUGCAGUGUUUGUGGGUGGGUUGACGGUAGCUGGACAAGAAGCGCCGGCUAACUACGUG